CUGAUUUGAAGAGCUUGCUCAGAUAUGACGAUGGACAUUGCAAAGAGUGGCGAACGGGUGAGUAACACGUGGGAAACCUACCUCUUAGCAGGGGAUAACAUUUGGAAACAGAUGCUAAUACCGUAUAACAAUAGCAACCGCAUGGUUGCUACUUAAAAGAUGGUUCUGCUAUCACUAAGAGAUGGUCCCGCGGUGCAUUAGUUAGUUGGUGAGGUAAUGGCUCACCAAGACGAUGAUGCAUAGCCAAGUUGAGAGACUGAUCGGCCACAAUGGGACUGAGACACGGCCCAUACUCCUACGGGAGGCAGCAGUAGGGAAUCUUCCACAAUGGGCGAAAGCCUGAUGGAGCAACGCCGCGUGUGUGAUGAAGGGUUUCGGCUCGUAAAACACUGUUGUAAGAGAAGAAUGACAUUGAGAGUAACUGUUCAAUGUGUGACGGUAUCUUACCAGAAAGGAACGGCUAAAUACGUGCCAGCAGCCGCGGUAAUACGUAUGUUCCAAGCGUUAUCCGGAUUUAUUGGGCGUAAAGCGAGCGCAGACGGUUAUUUAAGUCUGAAGUGAAAGCCCUCAGCUCAACUGAGGAAUUGCUUUGGAAACUGGAUGACUUGAGUGCAGUAGAGGAAAGUGGAACUCCAUGUGUAGCGGUGAAAUGCGUAGAUAUAUGGAAGAACACCAGUGGCGAAGGCGGCUUUCUGGACUGUAACUGACGUUGAGGCUCGAAAGUGUGGGUAGC
RNAcentral lists this ribosomal RNA (733 nucleotides) under Weissella cibaria. RNAcentral's name for it is "bacterial SSU rRNA". It matches the Rfam family "Bacterial small subunit ribosomal RNA", at positions 63 to 769 of the family's 1533-position model. The record is from RNAcentral. Lineage: Bacteria; Bacillati; Bacillota; Bacilli; Lactobacillales; Lactobacillaceae.